CAGCCGCCGCGGUAACACCAGCCCCUCGAGUGGUGGGGACUAUUAUUUGGCCUAAAGCGUCCGUAGCUGGCUGUAUCCGUCUCCCGGUAAAUCCGGCGUCCUAAGCGUCGGUUCUCGGGUGAUACCAUACAGCUAGAGGGUGGGAUAGGUGAGCGGUAUUUCUGGGGUAGGGGCGAAAUCCUUUGAUCCCAGGAGGACCACCAGUGGCGAAGGCUGCUCACUAGAACACGCCUGACGGUCAGGGACGAAAGCUGGGGCAGCGAACCGGAUUAGAUACCCGGGUAGUCCCAGCUGUAAACGAUGCUAGCUAGGUGUUGGGUCGGCCACACGCCGCCCCAGUGCCGCAGGGAAGCCGUUAAGCUAGCCGCCUGGGGAGUACGGCCGCAAGGCUGAAACUUAAAGGAAUUGGCGGGGGAGCAC
RNAcentral lists this ribosomal RNA (420 nucleotides) under uncultured crenarchaeote. RNAcentral's name for it is "bacterial SSU rRNA". It matches the Rfam family "Archaeal small subunit ribosomal RNA", at positions 459 to 879 of the family's 1478-position model. Lineage: Archaea; Thermoproteati; Thermoproteota. The record is from RNAcentral.